Molecule: transfer RNA, 58 nt
Filed under: Loxodonta africana (African savanna elephant)
Lineage: Eukaryota; Metazoa; Chordata; Mammalia; Proboscidea; Elephantidae
Rfam family: tRNA
About the family: Transfer RNA (tRNA) molecules are approximately 80 nucleotides in length.
Source: Rfam by way of RNAcentral
UAGUACAGUGGUUAAAGCUCUUGGCUGCUAACCAAAAGGCUGGUGGUUUGAAUCCACC